Molecule: ribosomal RNA, 649 nt
Filed under: uncultured Vagococcus sp.
Lineage: Bacteria; Bacillati; Bacillota; Bacilli; Lactobacillales; Enterococcaceae
Description: bacterial SSU rRNA
Rfam family: Bacterial small subunit ribosomal RNA
Source: RNAcentral
CGCCCUUAGAGUUUGAUCAUGGCUCAGGACGAACGCUGGCGGCGUGCCUAAUACAUGCAAGUCGAACGCAGCUUGCUUUGGUAAGAUGAGUGGCGAACGGGUGAGUAACACGUGGGUAACCUGCCUAUCAGAGGGGGAUAACACUUGGAAACAGGUGCUAAUACCGCAUAGAUUUCUUUCGCAUGAAAAGAGAGGAAAGACGUACGUGUCACUGAUAGAUGGACCCGCGGUGCAUUAGCUAGUUGGUGAGGUAACGGCUCACCAAGGCCAUGAUGCAUAGCCGACCUGAGAGGGUGAUCGGCCACACUGGGACUGAGACACGGCCCAGACUCCUACGGGAGGCAGCAGUAGGGAAUCUUCGGCAAUGGACGAAAGUCUGACCGAGCAACGCCGCGUGAGUGAAGAAGGUUUUCGGAUCGUAAAACUCUGUUGUUAGAGAAGAAUAGGUAGGAGUGACUUCCUGCCAUGACGGUAUCUAACCAGAAAGCCACGGCUAACUACGUGCCAGCAGCCGCGGUAAUACGUAGGUGGCAAGCGUUGUCCGGAUUUAUUGGGCGUAAAGCGAGCGCAGGCGUUUCUUAAGUCUGAUGUGAAAGCCCCCGGCUAAACCGGGGGAGGGCAUUGGAAACUGGGAGACUUGAGUGCAGAA